ACAAGUCUGAAAUAGUUCAUCUUUUUCAUCAGUGUUAGCCACACUUGCUUUCAACUUGUCUUAAUUUUUUUCCAAUUCUAAAAUGCUUUUUCAAAAAGUCUGAGGUAGCAAAGUAGCUGCUGGUACUUCAGCUUGAUUCUGAAGAAAUAAAUUUUAACAGCGAAUCUUAAAAGCCAACUCAUGAAUUUAAAAUGAAGGCAAAGUCCAAUUCGCCACUCCCACCCAUUUCUCACACCAGCUGUCUACCAACUGUGGCUGCAACUUUUCUGACACGACUAAACGGGCUGAAUCACUUGCUGAAGACUCGGCUUCGCUAGUACUCUUGAAGAACCGCACUUUCAGCCGGAUGGGGCAGGGCCAGGCUCAGAACCACCAGCUAAGACCCAAUCCCCUCGCUAGGGAAACGUAACUAGGCAACCACCACAAGUCAACAGCGCGCGCUAGCUUCAAAACAGCGGGUUGCAGGAGGUACUGAAAUUAACUCCAGAGAACCAGGGUCAGCAGCGAGGGGCAGAACAGAGCCCUAAAACCUAGUAGCAUCACAAAAACGAGGCAUCAACUGACGGGUAGUCUGAAGCUGGGGAGUUGUUUUAAAGACCACGAGAAAAGGGGCAGACCUACUCAACGCACUUUGCUGCGGGUCAGUUAUUUUCUCAAAACCCCAAAGGCCAGGAAGAAAGGUGACAGUCCCAGCCAAUGAGAGGCGGACACAAGUUGCACCUCCGGCGGCCGUCGGCGCCGUAGGCGGGGUAGAAAGAAAGGAACGAGCGCGCGUGCGCGGAAGGCUCAGGCGGCCGCGCGCAGAGAUACAGGCUGAAGAAAUGGGGGAAGGGUGGAAGAGGAAUAUAUGCGCACGCGCACCGGAGGCCGCGCGGGCUCUGGGUCUCGAGCCAGGUUCGCAAACACGAGCGCGCGCGCCGUUAGCACUGCUCAGCGACCCCGCCCGGCCUUUUCGGCCCGUAGUGCCUCGAAAACCUGAAGGAAGCUGACAAAAAAACGCACAAAUAACGGCGCAACGUCUCCUUGGUUCUCCUUUUGCCGCCAACCCGUCACCACCCACAGAAAAGUCAAAAAUAUGGCCUGUCCUCGGUCUUCACUGCUUCUUGAGUAACUUGAAUACAGCGCGAGGCCUACCUGACACGCAGAAUCGCGGUUCCGGGGAUUUAUCUCCGUUGCAACCACACAGCGGCCAUUUCCCGACUCAAGAACGCGAGGAAAACCAUAGAGAAAGAAAAGGAAAAAGAGAAAUGGAGAAGAAUGGAUAUGUGAAAAGGACAAAGACAAGAAAAUAGGAAUGAGGAUGGAGUUGGAAGUCUAGCACAAAGGCAAGCUCCAAGACCUGACUGGUUUUGUUUGGUUUGUUUUGUUUAUCUUUUUAGGUGGAACAUCUGAACUAUUUCCAUUCUACAUUAUGUACUUGCUGCAGGGGAAGUGAACUGCCAUGUCCUGAGAUAACGAGAGUUUGGGGAGAGAGGUGCCAUGAGUCUGUGGAGAGGUCAAUAUGACAAAGAACUGAAGCUUGCCAAGAGCCAUUUGAGUGAGCUUGGAAGUGGAUCUUUCCCCAGGCUGACUCAUGACUGAUGACUCCUGGGGAAAAAUCAAGACACAGGAAUAAGCAAUAUGCUUAAGGGAAUAAGCAAAUGAGUAACCCAGUUCUAUUUAAGGAAAUAUUUGAUUUUCAAGAGGUGGUCUUCGAAAAGUUCUGAUUGCCUCUCAGGAAAGAUACUAAUGCUGGCAUUCUGCCCAGGAGAGGAAGGGUAUUCCCAUUCAUCCCAGUAAUUCUGAUAGAGGAAAUAGUCCUUGGACCUGCAGCAACAGCGUCAUCUGGGGAUUUGUUAGCAAUGCAAGUUCUCAGACUCCACCAUAGAACUACUGAAUCAGACAUUCUGGGAUGAGGCCCAGCAUUCCAUGGUCUAACAAACCCUCCAGGGUUUUCCAGGCACACCAUCAUAUCAUCCAAAAGCAGCUAAUACAUUUCUCGUGGAAAUUGUCAAGUUGAUUUGAACACUUAUAUGAAAAUGCAGUGAAUCUAGAAGAGCCAAAACAAAAAGAAAAACAUACUGCUGCCACCUGAUUUCAGAUUUCACUGUACACCUGAUUUCGGAUUUCACUGUACACCUGAUUUCGGAUUUCACUGUACACCUGAUUUCGGAUUUCACUGUACACCUGAUUUCGGAUUUCACUAUGGUGUGAGGACAGACAGAUCAAUGAACAGAAUAAACAGCCUGGAGAUGACGCAGUCACCAAGACAAUUAAAUGGGGAAAAGAAAGUCUUUUUGAAUAAAUAGUGCUGAACAACUGGUUACACACAUGGAAAGGAAAAACCUUGAUUGAUUACUGCUACUUCCUGAUCUUUACUGCUCUUUUGUCGUCUUAAUUGUAUCAUCUGUGAAAUAAUUAUGCUGUAGGUCUACAGUUCCUUACUUGUGGAUCCAAAACAGAAAAUUCUCUAGAAACUGCAGGUUUCUUUCUAAGGCUUUUUGUGCCAAAAUCCAACCGUACCUAGAUUCAUUUGGUCACAGACCUUAUCUGAAAUGAUUUGAGGCUACUUGUAGUCUCUAUGUAAUUUAGUGUAGUCACACAUUUCACUGAAAAUAUACACAUUUACUUGA
This is a non-coding RNA of Macaca mulatta (Rhesus monkey), 2612 nucleotides long. The record is from RefSeq and is a predicted model, not a curated record. NCBI's taxonomy places the organism in Eukaryota, Metazoa, Chordata, Mammalia, Primates, Cercopithecidae.